Molecule: small nuclear RNA, 106 nt
Filed under: Aotus nancymaae (Ma's night monkey)
Lineage: Eukaryota; Metazoa; Chordata; Mammalia; Primates; Aotidae
Source: RNAcentral
GUGCUUGCUUCGGCAGCACAUAUACUAAAUUGGAAAGAUACAGAGAAAAUUAGCAUGGUCCCUGUGCAAGGAUGACUCGCAAAUUAGUGAAGCGUUCCUUAUUUUU